GGGAGUGGAAGAGGGCCCGGUGGCCCCCUCGGUUUUCAAAACCGUAGAGAGGCGUUUGGCGUCUCUGGUGGGUUCGACUCCCAUGCACUCCCGCCA
This 96-nucleotide transfer RNA is filed under the name Planctomycetota bacterium. RNAcentral describes it as "Planctomycetes bacterium (activated sludge metagenome) tRNA-Sec". It matches the Rfam family "Selenocysteine transfer RNA". Lineage: Bacteria; Pseudomonadati; Planctomycetota. The record is from RNAcentral.